GGCCGGCUGGCCUAAUGGCAAGGCGUCUGAAUACGAAUCAAGAGAUUCUGGGUUCGACCCUCAGGCUGGUCA
This 72-nucleotide transfer RNA is filed under the name Colletotrichum spaethianum. Its description in RNAcentral is "tRNA-Arg". It matches the Rfam family "tRNA". From Rfam's summary of the family: Transfer RNA (tRNA) molecules are approximately 80 nucleotides in length. Their secondary structure includes four short double-helical elements and three loops (D, anti-codon, and T loops). Lineage: Eukaryota; Fungi; Ascomycota; Sordariomycetes; Glomerellales; Glomerellaceae. The record is from RNAcentral.